Molecule: ribosomal RNA, 520 nt
Filed under: uncultured Glomus
Lineage: Eukaryota; Fungi; Glomeromycota; Glomeromycetes; Glomerales; Glomeraceae
Description: SSU rRNA
Rfam family: Eukaryotic small subunit ribosomal RNA
Source: RNAcentral
AGCAGCCGCGGUAAUUCCAGCUCCAAUAGCGUAUAUUAAAGUUGUUGCAGUUAAAAAGCUCGUAGUUGAAUUUCGGGAUCAAUACGUUGGUCAUGCUUUUUGGUACGAACUGGCGUCAUUGGUUUCUCCUUUCUGACGAACCAUGAUGUCAUUAAUUUGGUGUUAUGGGGAGUUGGGACUGUUAUUUUGAAAAAAUUAGAGUGUUUAAAGCAGGCAUAAGCUUGAAUACAUUAGCAUGGAAUAAUGAAAUAGGACGUUUGAUCCUAUUUUGUUGGUUUCUAGGAUCAACGUAAUGAUUAAUAGGGAUAGUUGGGGGCAUUAGUAUUCAAUUGUCAGAGGUGAAAUUCUUGGAUUUAUUGAAGACUAACUAUUGCGAAAGCAUUUGCCAAGGAUGUUUUCAUUAAUCAAGAACGAAAGUUAGGGGAUCGAAGACGAUCAGAUACCGUCGUAGUCUUAACCAUAAACUAUGCCGACUAGGGAUCGGAUGAUGUUAAUUUUUAAUGACUCAUUCGGCACCUUA